GUGCUCACUUCGGCAGCACAUAUACUAAAAUCGGAAUGAUACAGAGAAGAUCGGCAUGGCCCCUGCGCAAGGAUGACAUGCAAAUUCGUGAAGUGUUCCAUAUUUCU
Molecule: small nuclear RNA, 107 nt
Filed under: Suricata suricatta (meerkat)
Lineage: Eukaryota; Metazoa; Chordata; Mammalia; Carnivora; Herpestidae
Source: RNAcentral